CUCCUUCUUUCUUUCCCUAUAUUAUUCCACCAACCUCCGAAUAAGGUGGAAGCUUCCGUGGUAGGACGCCCCGCCAUGAGCCCGAACUGGUUGUCUAAAUACUGCCCUCCUCACCCUCAAUUCUACCACCCUCUCCCAAAUUUUCAUGCCACUGACUAGCAACUGUAACAACUAUAUUUUCCUCUUCGCAAGUGUGUAGUUUAAGUUCACCCAACCACCACUCUCUUCAAAGGUGGGAACAAGACACAUGACUAUUUGGUAACUUUAGUUUACAAUAUUUCUCCUUUCACUUUGUUAAGGGAUUAUUGAAGCAGAUGUGUGUUUCUAUGGUCAUCUAAUAUGAAAAUGUCAUGUCCUCUCUAGCUCCAUGGACCAAUCACCGGUAACAUGAAGCAUGAUGAAUAAGAUUCUUGUAUCAAGCAAGAGGAUUCUCUUACUGAAAGAAAAUCCUUUACAUUGGAGCAAUAAUAUCUAGGAACCUAUUUCAAGGAGCUGGUAUAUGGUGGAAUAUUCAACGUGCGCACAAGCUGUCCCAACAACACCAUUGUCCAAGAAUAUCUCUAAGAACCUACUUCAUACAAAAGGAUACAAUUUUUCUAGCUUAGACUGCCUUCAUCAAAUAAAGAAGGGAAAAGGAUCAGAACUGCCCCUAACGUAUUGAAUCCAGGUUAAAAAUGCCCUCCGUUAACCUAUUUUGAAGAAAAUGCCCUUACCGUUAAAAAUGUGGCAUUUUCAACACGUAAUCUUGCGUAUGUUGCAAUUGAACUCUCCAACCACAUCUCAAAUGUGUCACUUAAACUCACUUUCAUGAUAUGGCAUAGUUAGUGUAUUACAUCAUUUUUCAGAACGUGAGAGAGCAAUUUUUCUUUUUAAAAUUUUGUCACAACCCGGAUUUCUCACUGUCGGAACCAUGAUGGCUCCUAACUUUUCAGAUGCUAGGCAAGCCGACAAUUAGAGAUUUAAUAUGCUAAGCUUAAACAACGGAAAAGGGUCAGAACAGCCCCAAACGUAUUGACUCCAGGUUAAAAAUGCCCUCCGUUAACCUAUUUUGAAGAAAAUGCCCCUACCGUUAAAAAUGUGGCAUAUUU
Molecule: long non-coding RNA, 1088 nt
Filed under: Nicotiana benthamiana
Lineage: Eukaryota; Viridiplantae; Streptophyta; Magnoliopsida; Solanales; Solanaceae
Description: long non-coding RNA (NBEN_LNC035264)
Source: RNAcentral